This 274-nucleotide ribosomal RNA is filed under the name uncultured bacterium. RNAcentral describes it as "partial 16S ribosomal RNA". It matches the Rfam family "Bacterial small subunit ribosomal RNA", at positions 523 to 796 of the family's 1533-position model. The record is from RNAcentral.
AUACGGAGGCUGCGAGCGUUGUUCGGAAUCACUGGGCGUAAAGGGCGCGCAGGCGGAUUGGUAAGUCAGAUGUGAAAGCCCACGGCUUAACCGUGGAAGUGCAUUUGAAACUGUCAGUCUUGAGUACCAGAGGGGAAAGUGGAAUUCCCGGUGUAGAGGUGAAAUUCGUAGAUAUCGGGAGGAAUACCGGUGGCGAAGGCGACUUUCUGGCUGGAUACUGACGCUGAGGCGCGAAAGCGUGGGGAGCAAACAGGAUUAGAAACCCUAGUAGUCC